RNAcentral lists this small nuclear RNA (72 nucleotides) under Gonyaulax spinifera. RNAcentral describes it as "partial Dictyostelium signal recognition particle". The record is from RNAcentral. Lineage: Eukaryota; Dinophyceae; Gonyaulacales; Gonyaulacaceae.
CGCAGGAUGAGGCUGUGAAGUACGUGGAAGGGCAGGCAAUGCAGCACCUGAAGAGGAUUCAGGACCAGUGGA